Topomyia yanbarensis is the source of this 670-nucleotide long non-coding RNA. RefSeq lists it as uncharacterized. The transcript is spliced from 3 exons. NCBI's taxonomy places the organism in Eukaryota, Metazoa, Arthropoda, Insecta, Diptera, Culicidae. The record is from RefSeq and is a predicted model, not a curated record.
CUGGGGUGUUAUGUAGCGAUCACGUGUAUCAGAUUUUAAAAUAGCUUCCUAUUCCGUAACUCCCGUGCCCUGCUGUAAAGAUAGGUUGUUCACUUCUUCCAUCUCCUAUGAUGAAGAAUGAAUACCGGGCGGCUAGAACAAAUGUUCUGCUUGCGUGCAAGCCAAACGACGUUUCUCUCCAUGUCGUUUUCUCUUUGCUAUAGCGCGGACGUUGAACUUACAGGCGAUACGAGGUGCCGACUUAUUUGUCAUGUUCUUGUUUCCCCAACUGUUGGACCCGAAGAUCACUAAAAUUUGGGUGGAUGAAAUGGUUAGAUGCAAAAUACCAAAGGGGAAACGAGAUGUGGUUCGAUCCCGAUCGGUACCAAAUGAGUUCGUAAUGUAAUUUCCGGUUUCAAAAACCCAAAACUCGUUAAUCUGAGGAUUCACAGUCUCCCUGUUCAACCAUUUCAAGUUACUCAGUGGAAGAAGUUAGAGUGUGCUUGGUAGUGUCGUGAUUUCGUUUGAGGGUUAGCGCAAUUAGGAGAUCAGUGAAUGUGUGGAGACUUUGCGGGCAAGUGCGAGGAAACAGAGAGCCGUGCGACGGCUUUUAAUUCCAGAUUUUGCGCCUGGCGAAGCUACCACCGCACCGCCAGCAAAGAUCAUCCCACCUCCUGCCACCACACUCUGG